Molecule: ribosomal RNA, 459 nt
Filed under: uncultured bacterium
Lineage: Bacteria
Description: partial 16S ribosomal RNA
Rfam family: Bacterial small subunit ribosomal RNA
Source: RNAcentral
CCUACGGGUGGCAGCAGUGAGGAAUAUUGGUCAAUGGGCGCGAGCCUGAACCAGCCAAGUCGCGUGCGGGAAGACGGUCCUACGGAUUGUAAACCUCUUUUGUCGGGGAGCAAAAGUCGCUACGCGUAGCGUUCCGAAAGUACCCUAAGAAAAAGCAUCGGCUAACUCCGUGCCAGCAGCCGCGGUAAUACGGAGGAUGCGAGCGUUAUCCGGAUUUAUUGGGUUUAAAGGGUGCGCAGGUGGAAGAGCAAGUUAGAGUGAAAAUUGAGAGGCUCAACCUCUUCGAGCCGUUGAAACUGAUGUUCUUGAGUGGGCGAGAAGUAUGCGGAAUGCGUGGUGUAGCGGUGAAAUGCAUAGAUAUCACGCAGAACUCCGAUUGCGAAGGCAGCAUACCGGCGCCCAACUGACGCUGAAGCACGAAAGCGUGGGUAUCGAACAGGAUUAGAUACCCGGGUAGUC